ACGGAAGGCAGCAGUGGGGAAUUUUCCGCAAUGGGCGAAAGCCUGACGGAGCAACGCCGCGUGAGUGAAGAAGGUCUUCGGAUCGUAAAGCUCUGUUGAGAGGGACGAGAGAUAACUUCAGGAAAUGGGAGUUAGAGGACGGUACCUUUCGAGGAAGCCACGGCUAACUACGUGCCAGCAGCCGCGGUAAUACGUAGGUGGCGAGCGUUGUCCGGAAUUAUUGGGCGUAAAGGGAGCGCAGGUGGGAAAGUAAGUCAGUCUUAAAAGUGCGGGGCUCAACCCCGUGAUGGGAUUGAAACUACUUUUCUUGAGUGCAGGAGAGGAAAGCGGAAUUCCUAGUGUAGCGGUGAAAUGCGUAGAUAUUAGGAGGAACACCAGUGGCGAAGGCGGCUUUCUGGACUGUAACUGACACUGAGGCUCGAAAGCGUGGGGAGCGAACAGGAUUAGAUACCCUGGUA
This 458-nucleotide ribosomal RNA is filed under the name uncultured Anaerovibrio sp. Its description in RNAcentral is "bacterial SSU rRNA". It matches the Rfam family "Bacterial small subunit ribosomal RNA", at positions 341 to 792 of the family's 1533-position model. Lineage: Bacteria; Bacillati; Bacillota; Negativicutes; Selenomonadales; Selenomonadaceae. The record is from RNAcentral.